CCUACGGGUGGCAGCAGUGAGGAAUAUUGGUCAAUGGACGAAAGUCUGAACCAGCCAAGUAGCGUGAAGGAUGACUGCCCUAUGGGUUGUAAACUUCUUUUGUAUGGGAGUAAAGUGUUCCACGUGUGGGAUUUUGUAUGUACCAUAUGAAUAAGGAUCGGCUAACUCCGUGCCAGCAGCCGCGGUCAUACGGAGGAUCCGGGCGUUAUCCGGAUUUAUUGGGUUUAAAGGGUGCGUAGGGGGGUGGUUAAGUCAGUUGUGAAAGUUUGCGGCUCAACCGCAAAAUUGCAGUUGAAACUGGUAGGCUGGAGGGCAGUAGAGGUGGGCGGAAUGCGUGGUGUAGCGGUGAAAUGCUUAGAUAUCACGAAGAACUCCGAUUGCGAAGGCAGCUUACCGGACUGCAACUGACACUGAGGCUCGAAAGUGUGGGUAUCAAACAGGAUUAGAUACCCUAGUAGUC
RNAcentral lists this ribosomal RNA (460 nucleotides) under uncultured bacterium. Its description in RNAcentral is "partial 16S ribosomal RNA". It matches the Rfam family "Bacterial small subunit ribosomal RNA", at positions 338 to 795 of the family's 1533-position model. The record is from RNAcentral.